RNAcentral lists this ribosomal RNA (435 nucleotides) under uncultured bacterium. Its description in RNAcentral is "bacterial SSU rRNA". It matches the Rfam family "Bacterial small subunit ribosomal RNA", at positions 8 to 448 of the family's 1533-position model. The record is from RNAcentral.
AGAGUUUGAUCCUGGCUCAGGACGAACGCUGGCGGCGUGCUUAACACAUGCAAGUCGAGCGGAAAGGCCCUUCGGGGUACUCGAGCGGCGAACGGGUGAGUAACACGUGAGUAACCUGCCCCUAGCUCUGGGAUAGCUCCGGGAAACCGGGAUUAAUACCAGAUAUGACCACUUUAGACAUCUGUCGUGGUGGAAAGGAUUCCGGCUAGGGAUGGGCUCGCGGCCUAUCAGCUUGUUGGUGGGGUAACGGCCUACCAAGGCGACGACGGGUAGCCGGCCUGAGAGGGCGACCGGCCACACUGGGACUGAGACACGGCCCAGACUCCUACGGGAGGCAGCAGUGGGGAAUAUUGCGCAAUGGGCGAAAGCCUGACGCAGCGACGCCGCGUGGGGGAUGAAGGCCUUCGGGUUGUAAACCCCUUUCAGCAGGGACGA